RNAcentral lists this ribosomal RNA (1634 nucleotides) under Salmonella enterica subsp. enterica. Its description in RNAcentral is "partial 23S ribosomal RNA". It matches the Rfam family "Bacterial large subunit ribosomal RNA", at positions 1 to 1488 of the family's 2925-position model. Lineage: Bacteria; Pseudomonadati; Pseudomonadota; Gammaproteobacteria; Enterobacterales; Enterobacteriaceae. The record is from RNAcentral.
GGGUUGUGAGGUUAAGCGACUAAGCGUACACGGUGGAUGCCCUGGCAGUCAGAGGCGAUGAAGGGCGUGCUAAUCUGCGAUAAGCGCCGGUAAGGUGAUAUGAACCGUUAUAACCGGCGAUACCCGAAUGGGGAAACCCAGUGUGAUUCGUCACACUAUCAUUAACUGAAUCCAUAGGUUAAUGAGGCGAACCGGGGGAACUGAAACAUCUAAGUACCCCGAGGAAAAGAAAUCAACCGAGAUUCCCCCAGUAGCGGCGAGCGAACGGGGAGGAGCCCAGAGCCUGAAUCAGCAUGUGUGUUAGUGGAAGCGUCUGGAAAGGCGCGCGAUACAGGGUGACAGCCCCGUACACAAAAGCGCAUGUGCUGUGAGCUCGAUGAGUAGGGCGGGACACGUGGUAUCCUGUCUGAAUAUGGGGGGACCAUCCUCCAAGGCUAAAUACUCCUGACUGACCGAUAGUGAACCAGUACCGUGAGGGAAAGGCGAAAAGAACCCCGGCGAGGGGAGUGAAAAAGAACCUGAAACCGUGUACGUACAAGCAGUGGGAGCCCCACCACUAAGCCAGUGGUGAACUCCACAUACGCAUCCUUUGCUGAGGAUACGGUUAACGGAGCGAAAGCGACGUUCAACCGCAAAAGAAGCAGAGGGGGCUUAGUGGUGGGGUGACUGCGUACCUUUUGUAUAAUGGGUCAGCGACUUAUAUUCUGUAGCAAGGUUAACCGUAUAGGGGAGCCGCAGGGAAACCGAGUCUUAACCGGGCGUUAAGUUGCAGGGUAUAGACCCGAAACCCGGUGAUCUAGCCAUGGGCAGGUUGAAGGUUGGGUAACACUAACUGGAGGACCGAACCGACUAAUGUUGAAAAAUUAGCGGAUGACCUGUGGCUGGGGGUGAAAGGCCAAUCAAACCGGGAGAUAGCUGGUUCUCCCCGAAAGCUAUUUAGGUAGCGCCUCGUGAAUUCAUCUCCGGGGGUAGAGCACUGUUUCGGCUAGGGGGCCAUCCCGGCUUACCAACCCGAUGCAAACUGCGAAUACCGGAGAAUGUUAUCACGGGAGACACACGGCGGGUGCUAACGUCCGUCGUGAAGAGGGAAACAACCCAGACCGCCAGCUAAGGUCCCAAAGUCAUGGUUAAGUGGGAAACGAUGUGGGAAGGCCCAGACAGCCAGGAUGUUGGCUUAGAAGCAGCCAUCAUUUAAAGAAAGCGUAAUAGCUCACUGGUCGAGUCGGCCUGCGCGGAAGAUGUAACGGGGCUAAACCAUGCACCGAAGCUGCGGCAGCGAACGUAUCACUUAAAGCGAUUCAGCGGGUUACGAUUGACGGAGCGAAGCGACGUCAAAGCGUAUACAAAGUCGAGUCGGUUUAAGGAUACGUUCGUUGGGUAGGGGAGCGUUCUGUAAGCCUGUGAAGGUGGCCUGUGAGGGUUGCUGGAGGUAUCAGAAGUGCGAAUGCUGACAUAAGUAACGAUAAAGCGGGUGAAAAGCCCGCUCGCCGGAAGACCAAGGGUUCCUGUCCAACGUUAAUCGGGGCAGGGUGAGUCGACCCCUAAGGCGAGGCCGAAAGGCGUAGUCGAUGGGAAACGGGUUAAUAUUCCCGUACUUGGUGUUACUGCGAAGGGGGGACGGAGAAGGCUAUGUU